This 497-nucleotide ribosomal RNA is filed under the name uncultured bacterium. RNAcentral describes it as "partial 16S ribosomal RNA". It matches the Rfam family "Bacterial small subunit ribosomal RNA", at positions 28 to 507 of the family's 1533-position model. The record is from RNAcentral.
GAUGAACGCUGGCGGCGUGCCUAAUACAUGCAAGUCGAGCGAACGGACGAGAAGCUUGCUUCUUUGAUGUUAGCGGCGGACGGGUGAGUAACACGUGGAUAACCUACCUAUAAGACUGGGAUAACUUCGGGAAACCGGAGCUAAUACCGGAUGAUAUUUUGAACCGCAUGGUUCAAAAGUGAAAGACGGUCUUGCUGUCACUUAUAGAUGGAUCCGCGCUGCAUUAGCUAGUUGGUAAGGUAACGGCUUACCAAGGCAACGAUGCAUAGCCGACCUGAGAGGGGGAUCGGCCACACUGGAACUGAGACACGGUCCAGACUCCUACGGGAGGCAGCAGUAGGGAAUCUUCCGCAAUGGGCGAAAGCCUGACGGAGCAACGCCGCGUGAGUGAUGAAGGUCUUCGGAUCGUAAAACUCUGUUAUUAGGGAAGAACAUAUGUGUAAGUAACUGUGCACAUCUUGACGGUACCUAAUCAGAAAGCCACGGCUAACUACGUG